RNAcentral lists this long non-coding RNA (317 nucleotides) under Nicotiana benthamiana. RNAcentral describes it as "long non-coding RNA (NBEN_LNC001842)". Lineage: Eukaryota; Viridiplantae; Streptophyta; Magnoliopsida; Solanales; Solanaceae. The record is from RNAcentral.
AAUAGCAGCUAUACAUAAUUUUACCCUAACCUAUUGUUUGGAUGGUUGUUUCCCGUUUUAUUAUAUUGUAUUGUUACCCUAGAUACAAUGUUUGUUUUGAUUGUUAAUAUAAAAGUGAUUGUAUCGUAUUGUUUAAUUCAUUGUUCCGGAACAACGAAAAAUCUCAUUCUAUGAAACAACCAAAUCAGUAUGGUGGAAUUGUUCCGUAUUUUUCUUUCCAAUUACACCCACACUUAUUAUUCUAUAUUUCAAUUUUUACCCUUUGCCCUAUUAUUUAUAUUAUAUUCACCAAACUAAUAAGUACUUUAUCUCCAUCU